AGAGUCUGAGAUGGGACCCAGGAACAUCACCAUGAAGCUGUCCAGGAUGGAUGUGGGACCCUCUGUCAGACCAGGCCAGUUCUCUUAAUGUAAGAUCAGCAGGCCAAGGUCCUGGGAUAUGGGAGCUCCCAGGAAGUGGACUGGGAUGCCUGAGGGAUCCAAGAAUUAGCAGUGUCCUGUGUGGUCUCGCUGAGGGAAGCCAGGCAAAAUCUAGCGGCUCAGCUGUAACAGCCGGAGCUCUUGGCUCCCAAGCAACAGGAAACAAUUCUGGCUUAUUUAAGCAGAAAAGGACUUUAUCAAAAGGAUCUUGGGGAACUCACAAAAUAACCAAGAGGGCUGAAGAAUACAGUUGGUGAGUCGACCAAGGAGGCUGCACAGCAGUCAGGACCACAGCCAAAGUCAGGCAAUCCAGGGAUGACCUCGCUGCCAAAUCCAGGACUCCCUGGCAUACACUGCCACCUUGGGACGUGGAUAUGGUCCCUGUCGCCCCAGGAACUGGAAUGCCAUUGACUUGGCGACUGCCACCAUCCACCAGAAUGGACUUCUGUGCUCCUUGCAUCUCUGUAUUAUUAGUUCCCAACUCCAAGCCUUUGAUGGGGGCAUCUGAUGGAUUGAGCCUAAGCUGCAGUGAAAGACAGUGAAGGAAUUAUCCAGGGAAUCACUAGGAGAAUGGAGACCACAUGGAAAGGAGUUUAAAAUCACAUUUGGAAAAGUAGACCCUUUAUGCAAAAGAACAGACACUGAGAGAAACAGCAACAGAGAUGGAUGGAUUAAAAACGGCAAGUUCUAUCAUCGCCACCCCCCCGCCCCGCCACAUACUUUUCUCUCUUUUCAGGAUUCUGAUGGUGCCUGUUGGCUGCUUCCGUGAUGUCUGGAGUUGCAAAAUGUGCCAGAAAGCAGAAGGAUACACCGCUAUUCAGAGAGGAUUUUCUUAGGGACUUGAAGAAAUUGACCUCAAAAUUUCAGUAGAUGAGAGGACUGUGGCUGGCCUGUGUCUUUGGCACUGGGUACAUUCUGUCAUUCUUGUUGUACCUACAUAAGAGAAUUUAACUCUGGGUUCUCCCUGACUAAUUCCAGAGGAAGUAAAUGGGUAGACCUUUAACACUUCUGUGCCAGAAGUGGGACAGAAGGGACCUUGGAGGGCAUCUAGUCCAACCUUGCCAGCUGAGAAGCAGGAUUACCUGGUGGUUGGGAGCACAGACUUGAAGCCACAUAGCCCCAGUUUGAAACUGACUCCACCGCUUACUAGCAGUAUGACCUUGGACAAGUUACUAACCUCUGCCUCAGUUUCCUCAUCUGUAAGUUGUUGGAGCCCAAUGAAAAAUUCUACAUUGAAGACUAAGGGAAAAAGAGGUUUCAUUAUAGAGCUGGGACUGAUUGCAUUUUCAAAAGGUGGCUGCAACAAUAUCCCACACACUUUUCUGCUGUAUAAUCUGCCACUUCUCCAUCAAGUAGAGGAGACAAUUUCUCCCCUCCUUUGAAUCUGAGUGAGUUCUGUGACUGUUUUGACUGAUAGAAUGAUGUGGAAGACAGACUGUGUGACCUGAAAGGUGAGGUCACAGAAAGCCUUGCAACUUCCACCUGGCCUGUGAAGAACACUUGCUCUUGGGAUACUCCUUCUUGGAACCCAGCCACCAUGCUGUAAGAAGCCCAAUCUACAUGCAGACACCACAUAUAAGGCAUCGUAGUCAACAGCCACAGUUAAGUUCCCAGCCGGCAGCCAACAUCAACUACCAGUCUUGUGAGUGAGCUAUCUUGGACAUCCAGCUUGGUUAAACCUUCAGAUGACUCCAGCCCCAGCUGACACCUGACUGCAACCACAUGAGAAACCAGGAAUGAAAAUCCACCAGCUGAGCCCAGUCAACUCAUAGAACUGUGAGAGAUAAUAAUAAGUUGUGGUACUAAGCCACUAGGAUUGGGGCACCAUGCAAUAAUAGGUAACCAAGACAGUAGCAACUUUGGUUAGACACAUGAGCCAUGGGAUGACACAUAAUUAGGUAUAUUUUUAAAAACUUGGAUUCAGCUUUAGGGCAAUGUGUCCCUAACAUAGAGAGGCACUAUUUCAGUUCACAUCUGCUGCCUCUGAUCAAAACACUCUCUUGCACUUCCAGAGAGAGAGAGAGAGAGAGCAAAUGUGUGUAUUUACUGACAGGUGUCCCUUUGUGUCCCCAUCUGUGUGACUGUGGAGCUCAGUGUCUCUCACACAUUCUAGUAUGAUACUUGGUGCCAUAUUUGCAGGUCCUGAGGUAAGAACCCAUGCUGUUGUCUUCAGAGAGUUUCAUGGGUUGGACUGUGCCAUAUAUGGGCAAAAAUCCACCCACACGUUUUCUUUUAAUCACCUUUAUGGAUGUAUAAUUUACAUAUAUACUUUUUUCUUAUUACUUUUUAUUUAUGUAAUUUAUUCAUUUUUUGAGAUAGGGUCUCACUCUCUUGCCCAGGCUGGAGUGCAGUGGAGUGAUCAUGGCUCACUGCAGCCUUGACCUCCUGGGCUUAAGCAAUCCUCCCACUUCAGCCACCUGAGUAGCUGGGACCACAGGCACACACCACCACUCCUGGCUAAUUUAAAAAGUUGUUUUUUUUUUUUUUUUUGUAGAGACAGGGUCUCACUAUGUUGUCAAGGCUGGUCUCAAACUCCUGGGCUCAAGCGAUCCUAGUGCCUCAGCCUUCCAAAGUUCCGGGAUUACAAGCAUGAGCCACCAUGCCUGGCAUCUUUUGUGGAUGUGUAAUUUACAUACGUACAAUAAUAUGUACCUAUUUUAAGUAUACAGUUUGAUGAGCUUUGACGAAUGUAGCCCACGAAACCACCACCAUAAUCGAAGUAUAGAACUUUUUUUUUUUUUUUUUUUGAGACGAAGUCUCUCUCUUGUCACCCAGGCUGGAGUGCAAUGGCAUGAUCCCGGCUCACUGAAACUUCCGCCUCCCAGGUUCAAGCGAUUCUCCUGCCUCAGCCUCCUGAGUAGCUGGGAUUACAGGCACCUGCCACCACGCCCAGCUAAUUUUUGUAUUUUUAGUAGAGACAGGGUUUCACCAUGCUGGCCAGGCUGGUCUCGAGCUCCUGACCUCAGGUGAUCCCCCCUCCUCGGCCUCCCAAAGUGCUGGGAUUACAGGCAUGAGCCACUGCGCCCGGCCUAUAGAACAUUUUAAUCACCCCAGAGAUGUGCCCCCUGUGCAGCCAGUUCCCUCCUCUCACCCCCCAGCCCCUGGCAAGCAUUGAUUUGCUUUGCCACUAUCAAUCAAUUUUUGUCUUUUCUGGUAUUUCAUAUGAAUGGAAUCAUAUAGGAUAGAUUUUUAUGUGACUACACACUAUUUUAGCAUAAUAUUUUUGAAGUUCUUCCAUGUUGUUGUGUAUAUCUAUAGUUAAUUUCUUUUUCUCACUGAAUUGUAUACCACUGUAUGAUGUAUCACAAUUUGUUUAUUCAUUCUCCCGUUGCUGGACAUUUGGACUGUUUAUUGUUUGGGGCUACUAUGAAUAAAACUGCUAUGGAUGUUUAUGUACAAGAU
RNAcentral lists this long non-coding RNA (3501 nucleotides) under Homo sapiens (human). RNAcentral's name for it is "HSALNT0407348". The record is from RNAcentral. Lineage: Eukaryota; Metazoa; Chordata; Mammalia; Primates; Hominidae.